AGGAAAAGUUUUUGGAUUUCUCUGGAGAAAGUAGAAUUUCUUGUAUUCGUCCAGUAGUUUGAACCUAAAAGAAAUGUGCCUGAGUCUUCUGACUUUUGGUAUUUUUUAAGUUUGUUGCUUCUUUCGUUAAACAAUAAUUUUUUAUAGUGUCCCACUUUGGAAGGUAAGAAAACAAGUAAAUAUGUUCUGAUAUAUCAGUUUAAAAGAAAAAGUUACUUUGAUGAUGCAUUUCUCUUGAAGAGUUGGCAAACUUUCUCACCUAGAGCUAAAAAAUUAGCGCGAAUAUAAAAUGUUGAUGCUUGGCUAUUAGGAUAUGCAUCUUAUGUGAGAAAGGUUGUCGUUCUUCAUUUUGAAGCUACAUCAGGUAGCUAGAUUUGCUUUUGUUCGUUGGUAAAAGUUCAUUUAUUUAUUGAAAGCGAGAGGAAAUUGAUUUAUUGUUUCAAAAUAAAUUUCCGUCCGUGUUUAAGGAAAAGUUUUUCGAUUCCUUUGGAAAAAGUAGAAUUUCUUUUGCUCAUUCGGUAGUUUGAACUUAAAAAAAAAUGAUCUUGGAUCUUCUGACUGCAAGUAAAUAUGUUUUCAUAUUGUUUUUAGUUUCUUGCGUCUUUCGCUAAAAAAUAAUUUUUAUAGUGUUCCGGUUUGGAAGGUAAGAAAACAAGUAAUUAUGUCCCGAUAUAUUAGUUUGAAAGAAAAUAUUACUUUGCUGAUGCAUUUUCUUUUGAAGAGUUGACAAACUUUCUCAUAGAGUUGAAAAAUUAAUGCGGACAUAAAACAUGGAUGCUUAGUUAUCGGGAUUUCAUCUUAUGUGAGAAAGGUUGUUGUUCUUCAUAUUAAAGCCACAUUAGGAAAUUAGAUUUGCUUUUGUUCGUCGCUAAAAGUGCCUUAAUUUAUUUUAUUGAAAGUGAGAGGAAAUUUUUAUUGUUUCAAAAUAUAUUUGCGACGGUUUUUAAGAAAGAGCUUUUCAAUUUCAUUGGAGGAAGUAUAAUUACUUGUUUCCAUCCGGUAGUUUGAACUUAAAAAAAAUAAUCCUGGAUCUUCUUGCUGCAAAUAAAUAUUUUUUGGUACAUUUUAAGUUUCUUGGUUCUUUUGUUAAAAUAUAAUUGUGUAUGGUGUUCUGGUUCGGAAAGUAAGAGAGCCACAAUUUAUUACUUAGAAAUUGUAAGCAUGUUUUAUAAAUUUUUUAAAAAUAAAUGCACCUUGAUGAAUAAGAAAAUGUUUCUUUCUUGAGAAAAUAUAAAUCUGCUCUAGUCCCUCACGUGCACCAACUAUGAAAAAAUGAAACCUAUCAUGAUGGCCCCUCUCUCUCUUAGACAUUGCAAUUUGCUUUCCUAGUAUGUGAUGACCAUUGACGAAAGACUUGUGUGCUUGAUUAUGGGAAUUGUCAGAUUUAGUUUAUCUGAGAAAGGUUGUUAGUAUGUGUUUUGAAGCUUCAUUUAUGAAAGAUAGUUGGUAAAGAAUAAAAAAUGGUCGGGUGUUUUGGGUAGAGAACAUUAUUUCUGUGGCCCUUUGCAUUCAUAAUGAAUGUUUUAAUUGAGAUUCUUGAACCCAAGGAUAAGAGCUUCAAUUCCUUAUCAACAAGCUUUCAGUUCCAAAAUUGCGGUGCUUGGAUAAUCAUUUUGAAAGUUAGAAGUUUCUCGAUCUUUCAAAACAAACUUAUUUUAUAUUCUUAAAUGUCUUAUGUCGAAAUAUAUAAGUUCGGAAAGUAAACUAGCUCGAUUAAUUUGUUUGAAACUGAGGGUGUCCUUAUUUAUUUUUUAAAAAUAAAUGUUCCUGUCGGUGCCUAGACAAAUGUUCCUCAAUUUUUUUGGGCAAUUCGGUCCCUCGGAAUAGUUCCAAUUCUUAAACAAAUGUGA
This 1850-nucleotide long non-coding RNA is filed under the name Carica papaya (papaya). RNAcentral describes it as "long non-coding RNA (CPAP_LNC006586)". Lineage: Eukaryota; Viridiplantae; Streptophyta; Magnoliopsida; Brassicales; Caricaceae. The record is from RNAcentral.